This 600-nucleotide ribosomal RNA is filed under the name uncultured bacterium. RNAcentral describes it as "bacterial SSU rRNA". It matches the Rfam family "Bacterial small subunit ribosomal RNA", at positions 723 to 1328 of the family's 1533-position model. The record is from RNAcentral.
AGCGCACGAGGCCUUUACUGACGCUAAAGCUCGAAGGUGCGGGUAUCGAACAGGAUUAGAUACCCUGGUAGUCCGCACGGUAAACGAUGGAUGCCCGCUGUUUGCGAUACACUGUGAGCGGCCAAGCGAAAGCGUUAAGCAUCCCACCUGGGGAGUACGCCGGCAACGGUGAAACUCAAAGGAAUUGACGGGGGCCCGCACAAGCGGAGGAACAUGUGGUUUAAUUCGAUGAUACGCGAGGAACCUUACCCGGGCUUGAACUGCCGGCGAACGAUACAGAGAUGUUGAGGCCCUUCGGGGCGCCGGCGGAGGUGCUGCAUGGUUGUCGUCAGCUCGUGCCGUGAGGUGUCGGCUUAAGUGCCAUAACGAGCGCAACCCCUCUCCGUAGUUGCCAUCGGGUGAUGCCGGGCACUCUGCAGACACUGCCACCGUAAGGUGUGAGGAAGGUGGGGAUGACGUCAAAUCAGCACGGCCCUUACGUCCGGGGCUACACACAGGACAAUGGGUGUGACCAAGGGCAGGCGUCGGGCAACGUCCGUCAAAUCCAUGAAAGCCAUCCUCAGUUCGGACUGGGGUCUGCAACCCGACCACACGAAGCUG